GACGAACGCUGGCGGCGUGCUUAACACAUGCAAGUCGAACGAUGACGACCGAGCUUGCUCGGUCUGAUUAGUGGCGAACGGGUGAGUAACACGUGAGCAACCUGCCCUUCACUCUGGGAUAACCCCGGGAAAUCGGGGCUAAUACCGGAUAUGAGCUCCUGUCGCAUGGCGGGUGUUGGAAAGUUUUUCGGUGAAGGAUGGGCUCGCGGCCUAUCAGUUUGUUGGUGAGGUAGUGGCUCACCAAGGCGAUGACGGGUAGCCGGCCUGAGAGGGCGACCGGCCACACGGGGACUGAGACACGGCCCAGACUCCUACGGGAGGCAGCAGUGGGGAAUAUUGCACAAUGGGCGAAAGCCUGAUGCAGCGACGCCGCGUGAGGGAUGACGGCCUUCGGGUUGUAAACCUCUUUCAGCAGGGAAGAAGCGAAAGUGACGGUACCUGCAGAAGAAGCGCCGGCUAACUACGUG
Molecule: ribosomal RNA, 467 nt
Filed under: uncultured bacterium
Lineage: Bacteria
Description: partial 16S ribosomal RNA
Rfam family: Bacterial small subunit ribosomal RNA
Source: RNAcentral